This 647-nucleotide ribosomal RNA is filed under the name Salmonella enterica subsp. enterica serovar Infantis. Its description in RNAcentral is "partial 23S ribosomal RNA". It matches the Rfam family "Bacterial large subunit ribosomal RNA", at positions 711 to 1273 of the family's 2925-position model. The record is from RNAcentral. Lineage: Bacteria; Pseudomonadati; Pseudomonadota; Gammaproteobacteria; Enterobacterales; Enterobacteriaceae.
AGACCCGAAACCCGGUGAUCUAGCCAUGGGCAGGUUGAAGGUUGGGUAACACUAACUGGAGGACCGAACCGACUAAUGUUGAAAAAUUAGCGGAUGACCUGUGGCUGGGGGUGAAAGGCCAAUCAAACCGGGAGAUAGCUGGUUCUCCCCGAAAGCUAUUUAGGUAGCGCCUCGUGAAUUCAUCUCCGGGGGUAGAGCACUGUUUCGGCUAGGGGGCCAUCCCGGCUUACCAACCCGAUGCAAACUGCGAAUACCGGAGAAUGUUAUCACGGGAGACACACGGCGGGUGCUAACGUCCGUCGUGAAGAGGGAAACAACCCAGACCGCCAGCUAAGGUCCCAAAGUCAUGGUUAAGUGGGAAACGAUGUGGGAAGGCCCAGACAGCCAGGAUGUUGGCUUAGAAGCAGCCAUCAUUUAAAGAAAGCGUAAUAGCUCACUGGUCGAGUCGGCCUGCGCGGAAGAUGUAACGGGGCUAAACCAUGCACCGAAGCUGCGGCAGCGAACGUAUCACUUAAAGCGAUUCAGCGGGUUACGAUUGACGGAGCGAAGCGACGUCAAAGCGUAUACAAAGUCGAGUCGGUUUAAGGAUACGUUCGUUGGGUAGGGGAGCGUUCUGUAAGCCUGUGAAGGUGUGUCGUGAGGCAUGC